GAUGAACGCUGGCGGUAUGCUUAACACAUGCAAGUCGAACGGUGGCUUCGGACAUAGUGGCGGACGGGUGUGGAACGCGUGGGAAUAUAACGAUUGGUUCGGGACAACUACAGGACACGGUGACUAAUGCCGGAUAAGCUGUAAAGCGAAAGAUUAAUUGCCACUUGAAGAGCCCGAGGCAGAUUAGGUUGUUGGUGGGGUAAGAGCCUACAAAGGCGUCGAUCAGUAGCUGGGGUGAGAGGACGGGCAGCCACUCUGGGACUGAGUCACGGCCCAGACUCCUCCGGGAGGCAGCAGUGGGGAAUAUUCCGCAAUGGGCGAAAGCCUGACGGAGCAAUACCGCGUGAGGGAGGAAGGCUCUUGGGUUGUAAACCUCUUUUCUUUGGGAAGAUAAUGACGGUACCAGAGGAAUAAGCAUCGGCUAACUCCGUG
RNAcentral lists this ribosomal RNA (432 nucleotides) under uncultured bacterium. RNAcentral's name for it is "partial 16S ribosomal RNA". It matches the Rfam family "Bacterial small subunit ribosomal RNA", at positions 28 to 507 of the family's 1533-position model. The record is from RNAcentral.